GAUGAACGCUAGCUACAGGCUUAACACAUGCAAGUCGAGGGGAAACGAUAGAGAAAGCUUGCUUUUUCUAGGCGUCGACCGGCGCACGGGUGAGUAACGCGUAUCCAACCUGCCCAUCACUUGGGGAUAACCUUGCGAAAGUAAGACUAAUACCCAAUGGCGUCUCUAGAAGACAUCUGAAAGAGAUUAAAGAUUUAUCGGUGAUGGAUGGGGAUGCGUCUGAUUAGCUUGUUGGCGGGGUAACUGCCCACCAAGGCGACGAUCAGUAGAGGUUCUGGGAGGAACUGCCCCCACAUUGGAACUGGUGCGCGGUCCAAGCUCCUACGGGAGGCAGCAGUGAGGAAUAUUGGUCAAUGGGCGUGAGCCUGAACCAGCCGAGUAGCGGGCGGGAUUACGGCCCUAUGGGUUGUAACUGCUUUUAUAAGGGAAUAAAGUGAGUCUCGUGAGACUUUUUGCAUGUACCUUAUGAAUAAGGACCGGCUAAUUCCGUGCCAGCCGCCGCAGUAA
This 507-nucleotide ribosomal RNA is filed under the name uncultured bacterium. RNAcentral describes it as "partial 16S ribosomal RNA". It matches the Rfam family "Bacterial small subunit ribosomal RNA", at positions 28 to 523 of the family's 1533-position model. The record is from RNAcentral.